AUGACAAUGGACAGUCACACGUCUACGGAAGAGGUGACGAGCUCUUCUCUCCCAAGGCCCCCUUUGUCUCCCGGCUUCCAUCACACGGCCAAGCGCAGGAACACAAUUAUCGGUGCAUUUUGUGCAGAGAAGAGGCUUCAGUCCCAGGGAACACCGGAAAGCCCUCCUCAGCCCCGCCCAUCGGGAGGAAGUGCUCGGCUCGCAGCCGGAAGUGCUCAUCUAGCGGCUGAAAGUCCUCUCACACGGGCUCCUGGUGAAAGAAGGGCACCUCGACAACACCACAGUCCAGCGCAUCUCUGUCUCCCUGGAACCCUGGAGGUGCUGCACACUUUCAGCCAGUCUCGUGGCUCAGGUAUGGUGAAAAGAAGUGACAUGUAUAUAUGCCUGAGGCUGCCUCCCAGAGUCGUCAUGAAGAUUCAAAUGCUGCAAACAUCCAGCCAUGGCGAAUCAGCGGCAUUCCUUGACCAGAAUUCAUUGAUCGUCAAGGUUGGCAAUUUCCAGUGCAGAAGAAGAGACGCGAUCGAAUGUGGGGUCUGUACAUGGUCCUUUUCUGUGCUUCCCUUUUCUUACGCAUAGAGAGGAUAGUGAAUGAAGAGCCAUGUGUGAAAUGCUUAGCGCACUGCCUGGCACAGGGGACCUCUGAGUUAGCUGCCCACAUUGUCGUACCUGGAAGCCCCCUUUCUCCUGGGUCAGUUGUGGUCACCAGGCAGUGGAUGGUCGGAUCGCUGAACUGGAGGGAACGGGCCCUGUCCUUGUCCCAUCAGUAAGUAAGCAGACCCUUAGAGGGCCCUGGCUCAGGGGCUCCGACUGACACCCGAUUCCCCUGGGCCCAGCUUUGCCAUACAGCGUCCAAGGAUCUGAGCUCUAAGAGGGAGGAGGCACUUUUAGCAAAAAGGUAGAUUAAAUUUUACCUACAAUUCCCCUUGCACCUUUGUACAAACUGCCACCCUCCACCCAUGCACGGUUAGAUUCAGGCAGCCUGGAAUUUUUAAUGCCCGAUAUGUAUAGGUCAUUAAAUAUGUAUUAAGAAUUAGAAAGAGUAGCCCCUGCUUGCAACACACAAAACCCCAGUAGAUGCCAAAGUUCUCAGCCAGGUGUGGUAGGUAACACUUAGCUCUUGAUAUAGCAAAUCGAGAUGCGUUGGGUCUGGGCACCUGGGGUUGGCAGUCUUGUCCCUGCUGGGUGGCCACCCAGACCCUGGCCUCUGCCAUGGGAUGUGCACAGUGGCUCUGGCUCAGGAAAAACCUGGGUGGAACAGGCUGCCCGUGUUGCCCGGCAUGUGCAAAUGCCUGUGAUUGUUGAAGCCUGCCAGUCAGGUGCUGUCGGGAGCUCCCCCGAGAGCUGAGAAAGAGCUCACCCACUCCGGGGAUGAGCAGUGCCUGUCCUGUGUGAGGGACGGAAGGAGAGGCGCCCCUCACAGCCAGCAGCCCUCCUCUCAGCCGGGAAGGAUGAGGAGAUUUUGCUGUGGCCCCGCACCUGCCCAGGUCGUGGUGUCCACCCCAGCACAGUGUGCGCCAUGCAGGCUUUCCUGUUUCUGAGGGCCAUCUGCUCCCGGCCAGUCCUCUCUGCGCAUGGGGCUCCGGGAUAGGGUGGCCAGCUAGCAGAUUGUGUGUGCUGUGCAGUCAGGGGAGGACCUUGGGGUCCUGAGGGCAGGGUGGGGGCACCCCAUCCCCCUGGACUCCCGUUUGUGCCUCCUCACCUGCUUCCCUUUACCAACAGGUAAAAAACAACCACACACCCAUGCGGCUGUGAAGAUCAGUGAGGAGUUAUAAGGAAAUAUGCUGCGAACGGUGGGAAUAAAAGCACUAAACACAUGGAAAGGUUGGCAAAUGGAAAUCUGGGUAUUUGGAAGUAGGCUGUGGCUGCAGUUUGGUAUUCCUCAGAAGUUCCUUAGUUGAGCACUUAAUCCCCACAUCCUAAACUAGUGGUAUUUGGAGGUGGGGCUUUGGGGAAGCGGUGAGGACUCCCCGUUGUGACUUUCCUGGAAGAGAAGGGAGACCAGGCUGCUCUCUCGCUCUGCCUCGCCAUGUGAUGCAUGGGGCCCUCUCGGGACGCCACUCCAAUGCUAACACCCUGCUCUUGGGCUUUCCAGAACCAUGAGCCCAACAUACUUCUGUUUGUUAUAAAUCAAUUGGUCUCGGAAUUUUUGUUAUGGAAACCGAAAACACAGGUGUCAAAAUCAAUCGGUCCAAUCUGGGAGGACUUGGAAGACCAGCUGCCUAACCGUGAGGAUUUUCCCUGCGGAUGUGGAUGUGGAUGUGGACUGCAGAGCCAGGCAGGCGCCGUCUCCUGUGUGCAUCCCCUCUCUGGACUAUGCCGAAUUGGAGCCUGAGAUGAGCUGCUUUCCACAGAGCCGAGGCGCCUGGUGCCGAGCUCAUCUCCUUUCCCGACUGCCUUUCUCCUGCACAGUGUUCCAGUCCCAGACUGGUGCUCAGGGCUCUUGUUUUCUUCCCAUUCCGGCCUCCUCGAAGAGGGUCUGAGGAAUUACGUCUCCCCAGUGACACCAACCACUGAUGAAGUUCGAGGCACUGUUUGCUCUGACAUGGUGGUAUCUUGAGAGGAAGGAAAAUGGGCAUUAAGUAGAGGAUUUCAGGCAUCAGCAGGUCAGGAAGGAAGGUGGGGCUUUUACACACACACACACACACACACACACACACACACACACACACACACACUCUGCAAUGGCUCAGAGUACACAGAUCUGCUCUCCGGAACGGCCUGUGCUGGCUCUUCUCUGGGGAGGAGAAGACAAGGACCUCGUCUUUGGAGACCCCUCGGCAGUUCUUCCUCCCGUCUCCCUUGAGCCCAGAGCGUAGGGCACAGUCUCUGGUGCCUCCUCUUCCUGCUUCUGCCUGCGGCCCCUCUGCAGGGGGUUGGGCUGGUGGGAAUGAAGGGAAGCAGCUUCCCUCCACGUCGGUGAGGGCACGGCACGCACUGGACCCUGUGUGGGUGCUGCCCGGGCAGACGGCAUCUCCAGACUGGCUAAGCUCACCCAGCCCUGGGCGCCCUUGAGUAACUGAGCCCCACUCCCUGCCUGGAGGCCUAUGAGCCCACAUUCUGGUGUCGGAUUCCCUGCCUUGGCUUGGGCUGCUCUGUCUGCUCCCAGGAGGAACUGUCCUCCUGAUUGCCGUGAGUCAGAGCAGCCCACUUCUCCCCUUUCAAGGCCCAGCCCUGCCAGGAUUCCUGUCUGACUACUUCUUCAUUAACAGCGAUGGGCUGUACACCCGGAAGUUCCCUAGAGCUCAUUUCAGUGGAUAAUGAUUGUUUUUGCAGGAGGGACCCCAAUGGUUUUUCCGUUUCUGUUUCCAUAAUAUGUACUGAAAUCCACACUUCAUUGGAAGCAGAUGGUGAAAGCGUCCUCGAUGUGCAAGAGAAGGCUUGGCAGGGGUGCCGCAGGUCCGUCCUCCUCUUGGGCAGCCCCAGCCUGGGUGCAGGAGCCCAGGGCUGAAGACGAGGGCAGGAAGCUGGACACCUGGGUGAUGGACAGCAGAAACGGUGGGCCUGAAGUGUGUGUGUGUGUGUGUGUUGGGGGAUUAAAAGGGAAGGAGAGCAAAGGCCAAUGGCAGGGGUGGGUCACGACUCUCCAAGUCCCUUUCCCGUGUCUGCAGGCUCAGUGUCAAAUGCUUGGGAAAGCGGUGCAUGGCAGCCGCCCCUGCAGAGGAAAUUGGUGCUGAAGUCUCAGCCUCGGAGCCCCAGGCCUGACCCCUUCUGCUCAUUUGCCUCUGAGACUGUAAUGAAAAGCAUAUUCUCCACUGUAUCUUUCCCAAGGACAUAAAAUCCACUUCUAUCUCCAAAAAAGGCAAAGAGAGGGCCUGCUGCUUUCCAGGCUGCCCGGCAAACAAUUGUCGCCCCCAAGCCUGGUGUGACAAAAGCAGGGAGCCCCAGCCAGGGCUGGGCUAGCGCCACCAGGCAGCGUCCCAGGGUCCUGGGACAGCCAGUGAGUCCCUCCUGCUACAGACUCGUGGGUCACCACUGUCCAUCAAAAGCCACUGCCCUGGUGGCUGUGCUGGCUGGAAGUGACAGGCGCCCAGCUUCCUGUGAUGGCUUAGCUCUGGAAUGUGUUUGGAGGUGGCCGUGUCAUGGAGUGCUCCGCUCCCUGGUGAUUCAUCCACUAGCGAGUUUAGAGCUGAAUGUGCUCUUUGGAGGCGAGUCUAGAACGUUCUGUCUCCCCUGGCUCAUCCUUUCGCUGUUGGCUUCCUGGCCACCAUCACAUGAGCAGCUCUCCUCCCUGGGACCCUUCUACCAGGCCCUUUCUGUCUUGGAGCCAGCUGACCAACUGUGGGCUGGAUCCUCUAAGAACCGUGAGCCAAAAUAAAC
RNAcentral lists this long non-coding RNA (4317 nucleotides) under Fukomys damarensis (Damara mole-rat). RNAcentral's name for it is "lncRNA (ENSFDAG00000026036.1)". Lineage: Eukaryota; Metazoa; Chordata; Mammalia; Rodentia; Bathyergidae. The record is from RNAcentral.